This 810-nucleotide long non-coding RNA is filed under the name Dromaius novaehollandiae (emu). RNAcentral's name for it is "lncRNA (ENSDNVG00000003644.1)". Lineage: Eukaryota; Metazoa; Chordata; Aves; Casuariiformes; Dromaiidae. The record is from RNAcentral.
UAUCAAGGAGUCCAUUUUGCCCUUCAGAGGAUGAAUAGCUUUCUAUUUUUAUUCUGUCUAUUUUAUAGCUGCCACUGAGGAAGCGAGAAGUCUGAGAUUGAUCCUGACCCAGUAGUAUUAUAUGUAGGUCCUAUGAGAACAAUAUUUGCUCUUGAUGACCAUUGGAACAUACUAAUUUAAAGAACUCUAACAUACUCUCCAAAGAACGCCUUCCACAUUUUUUUCACAUGUGAGAUCUCCCAGACUUUCAAAGCCAUCAGUAAAGUUCGAACUACUUUUUAGUUUGCAUCUUUUCUCCUCUGAGGUUCAAAGUGGCAGCAGCACCACCUCGCCAUCCAUCUGGGAUCCGACUCCUUCAUCGAGCAGAGGGCUGCGUACCUGUCUCAGCCAGAGGCCUUGUGGCUUUCAGCAGCUGAACACUUUGGGAUGCAACUGAACCAGGGUUUUCAGCUGGACAACGUCUGAACUAACUGCAAAUCACAAUGUCACCAUGAAUGUCCACUGGCAAACUGGAUAAGAAAGAGUGUCACAGUGCAGGACAACCUAGAAGAUGACAGAUAUUUCCAGGCAUAGCAAUGAUGAGAUCAAAUUCCCCUCAACCUGCCUUGUUUGCUGAUCUUUUAAUCAGAUUCAACUUCACUGCAGCUACAGCACAAGGUUCCCUGACAAUGGACUGGAAAAAUAAUCGAUUCCUCAGCAGCUGCAGAUGGGCCAGGAAAGGCUCUCGCCCGGGACACUGUUUACGUAAGUUAGCCCAAGCAUAUGGCUCUGAAGCCUGCCUGUAGCCACCGUCAGAUAUUGCAAUUUUCC